This 108-nucleotide small nuclear RNA is filed under the name Procavia capensis (Cape rock hyrax). Lineage: Eukaryota; Metazoa; Chordata; Mammalia; Hyracoidea; Procaviidae. The record is from RNAcentral.
GGACUUAAUUGUCAGAGCUUGUACACUAAAAUUUGAAUGAUAUAGAGGAGAUUAGCAUAGCCCCCACACAAGAAUGGCAUGCAAAUUCAUGAAGCAUUCCAUAUAAUU